ACUGCUCUUUAACAAUUUAUCAGACAAUCUGUGUGGGCACUCGAAGAUACGGAUUCUUAACGUCGCAAGACGAAAAAUGAAUACCAAGUCUCAAGAGUGAACACGUAAUUCAUUACGAAGUUUAAUUCUUUGAGCAUCAAACUUUUAAAUUGAAGAGUUUGAUCAUGGCUCAGAUUGAACGCUGGCGGCAGGCCUAACACAUGCAAGUCGAACGGUAACAGGAAGAAGCUUGCUUCUUUGCUGACGAGUGGCGGACGGGUGAGUAAUGUCUGGGAAACUGCCUGAUGGAGGGGGAUAACUACUGGAAACGGUAGCUAAUACCGCAUAACGUCGCAAGACCAAAGAGGGGGACCUUCGGGCCUCUUGCCAUCGGAUGUGCCCAGAUGGGAUUAGCUAGUAGGUGGGGUAACGGCUCACCUAGGCGACGAUCCCUAGCUGGUCUGAGAGGAUGACCAGCCACACUGGAACUGAGACACGGUCCAGACUCCUACGGGAGGCAGCAGUGGGGAAUAUUGCACAAUGGGCGCAAGCCUGAUGCAGCCAUGCCGCGUGUAUGAAGAAGGCCUUCGGGUUGUAAAGUACUUUCAGCGGGGAGGAAGGGAGUAAAGUUAAUACCUUUGCUCAUUGACGUUACCCGCAGAAGAAGCACCGGCUAACUCCGUGCCAGCAGCCGCGGUAAUACGGAGGGUGCAAGCGUUAAUCGGAAUUACUGGGCGUAAAGCGCACGCAGGCGGUUUGUUAAGUCAGAUGUGAAAUCCCCGGGCUCAACCUGGGAACUGCAUCUGAUACUGGCAAGCUUGAGUCUCGUAGAGGGGGGUAGAAUUCCAGGUGUAGCGGUGAAAUGCGUAGAGAUCUGGAGGAAUACCGGUGGCGAAGGCGGCCCCCUGGACGAAGACUGACGCUCAGGUGCGAAAGCGUGGGGAGCAAACAGGAUUAGAUACCCUGGUAGUCCACGCCGUAAACGAUGUCGACUUGGAGGUUGUGCCCUUGAGGCGUGGCUUCCGGAGCUAACGCGUUAAGUCGACCGCCUGGGGAGUACGGCCGCAAGGUUAAAACUCAAAUGAAUUGACGGGGGCCCGCACAAGCGGUGGAGCAUGUGGUUUAAUUCGAUGCAACGCGAAGAACCUUACCUGGUCUUGACAUCCACGGAAGUUUUCAGAGAUGAGAAUGUGCCUUCGGGAACCGUGAGACAGGUGCUGCAUGGCUGUCGUCAGCUCGUGUUGUGAAAUGUUGGGUUAAGUCCCGCAACGAGCGCAACCCUUAUCCUUUGUUGCCAGCGGUCCGGCCGGGAACUCAAAGGAGACUGCCAGUGAUAAACUGGAGGAAGGUGGGGAUGACGUCAAGUCAUCAUGGCCCUUACGACCAGGGCUACACACGUGCUACAAUGGCGCAUACAAAGAGAAGCGACCUCGCGAGAGCAAGCGGACCUCAUAAAGUGCGUCGUAGUCCGGAUUGGAGUCUGCAACUCGACUCCAUGAAGUCGGAAUCGCUAGUAAUCGUGGAUCAGAAUGCCACGGUGAAUACGUUCCCGGGCCUUGUACACACCGCCCGUCACACCAUGGGAGUGGGUUGCAAAAGAAGUAGGUAGCUUAACCUUCGGGAGGGCGCUUACCACUUUGUGAUUCAUGACUGGGGUGAAGUCGUAACAAGGUAACCGUAGGGGAACCUGCGGUUGGAUCACCUCCUUACC
Molecule: ribosomal RNA, 1690 nt
Filed under: Escherichia coli
Lineage: Bacteria; Pseudomonadati; Pseudomonadota; Gammaproteobacteria; Enterobacterales; Enterobacteriaceae
Description: partial 16S ribosomal RNA
Rfam family: Bacterial small subunit ribosomal RNA
Source: RNAcentral